This 718-nucleotide ribosomal RNA is filed under the name Bacillus cereus. RNAcentral describes it as "bacterial SSU rRNA". It matches the Rfam family "Bacterial small subunit ribosomal RNA", at positions 22 to 729 of the family's 1533-position model. The record is from RNAcentral. Lineage: Bacteria; Bacillati; Bacillota; Bacilli; Caryophanales; Bacillaceae.
ACCCUAAACAAUACGGCCUGCUAUAAUGCAAGUCGAGCGAUGGAUUAAGAGCUUGCUCUUAUGAAGUUAGCGGCGGACGGGUGAGUAACACGUGGGUAACCUGCCCAUAAGACUGGGAUAACUCCGGGAAACCGGGGCUAAUACCGGAUAACAUUUUGAACCGCAUGGUUCGAAAUUGAAAGGCGGCUUCGGCUGUCACUUAUGGAUGGACCCGCGUCGCAUUAGCUAGUUGGUGAGGUAACGGCUCACCAAGGCAACGAUGCGUAGCCGACCUGAGAGGGUGAUCGGCCACACUGGGACUGAGACACGGCCCAGACUCCUACGGGAGGCAGCAGUAGGGAAUCUUCCGCAAUGGACGAAAGUCUGACGGAGCAACGCCGCGUGAGUGAUGAAGGCUUUCGGGUCGUAAAACUCUGUUGUUAGGGAAGAACAAGUGCUAGUUGAAUAAGCUGGCACCUUGACGGUACCUAACCAGAAAGCCACGGCUAACUACGUGCCAGCAGCCGCGGUAAUACGUAGGUGGCAAGCGUUAUCCGGAAUUAUUGGGCGUAAAGCGCGCGCAGGUGGUUUCUUAAGUCUGAUGUGAAAGCCCACGGCUCAACCGUGGAGGGUCAUUGGAAACUGGGAGACUUGAGUGCAGAAGAGGAAAGUGGAAUUCCAUGUGUAGCGGUGAAAUGCGUAGAGAUAUGGAGGAACACCAGUGGCGAAAGCGACUUUU